UGGAGGAGUUGGCAGGAUGAGGAGAAUUCAGCUAAGAGAAGAAGAUGAAGGAAGAGGCAGAAGGAACAGCAUAAGCAGAGGCUUAGGGGUAGAAGAGAGAGGGGUGUCCCCGAGGAAAUGAGCAGCAGAAAUGAGUGUGGUCUGUGUACAACAUUCACCAUCUGGGCAUGCACAGGAGAAAUCUGCAGAACACCAGGCCAGUUAAACUGUGUACUUUGAAUUCUCAUGAGGGCCCCAAUUAAUUCCUGAAAACUUGCCCCCAGAAACUCCAUCUCACUGGCUUCAUGAAUUUUCCUCUCUGAGAUAUUUUGGACAAGCAACACAAAGAACCCCUCCUGUGGAGCUGUGUAGAAAGAGCUGCCAGCAACAGCUGAACUCAACCAAGCAGCUCAGAACAGCCUGUUGGAUGGUGCAGAAAGAGAAGCAAGUGAAUCAAGUCCGAGAGCAGGGAAUCCUCCAGGGGAAUUGGCGGAUUGUCAACUAUAAGGGCCUCCAAAGGUCCACUGCAUCACCCCUUCUCCAGGAAGGCUGCACACACCUGGUUGGAGGGAGGGGGAUCUUUGCAUGGGAGCCUGAGACUGACACAUACUAUUAAAAAGUUCUUCCCAGGCCCAUCCUUUCUGGGUGGCUUUGAGCAUGGACUGGAACCAGAUGACCUGGGUUGCAAACACAGAUCUGACACUUCCUUGCUUUAUGACUUUAGUCAAAGAACUUAACCUGUCUGCACUUCUGUUUCCAUACUUAUAAAAUGGGGAUAAAAGAAUAUUUGCUUCA
Molecule: non-coding RNA, 774 nt
Organism: Ictidomys tridecemlineatus (thirteen-lined ground squirrel)
Lineage: Eukaryota; Metazoa; Chordata; Mammalia; Rodentia; Sciuridae
Source: RefSeq, a predicted model, not a curated record